Molecule: transfer-messenger RNA, 394 nt
Filed under: Prevotellaceae bacterium
Lineage: Bacteria; Pseudomonadati; Bacteroidota; Bacteroidia; Bacteroidales; Prevotellaceae
Description: partial transfer-messenger RNA
Rfam family: transfer-messenger RNA
About the family: Bacterial tmRNA, also known as 10Sa RNA or SsrA, is named for its dual tRNA and mRNA-like properties. Its role is to liberate the mRNA from a stalled ribosome.
Source: RNAcentral
GGGGAUGUUCCGGUUUCGACAGCAAAUUGGAUCGGAACGUAAGCAUGCCGAGCGUUGUGAUGGUAGCUCGUAAAUCUCAACACACAAGCCAUAAUUGGCGAAAACAACUAUGCACUCGCUGCGUGACCUGCCAAGCACGUCACCUUAAUCAGGCCGGCCUAGGUUGCAGGCCCGACGAGUAUCCCGCUACGCUGUUCGGCUCUUUAAUAGCGUAGUAUAUGGGGUAUCAUUCUUUAGAGCUGGUUGCGCCGAUGUUGCUACAGCGCAAUAAGAAAACAGCAGCUAAGAAACAGGCAGGAUGCUUUUUUCCGGUCUGUUUACGAAAACCAAAUAAAAGAUAAGCAUGUAGAACGCGUUUGGAUGGUUUGUUUGGACGCGGGUUCGAUUCCCGCCA